GGGUUGUGAGGUUAAGCGACUAAGCGUACACGGUGGAUGCCCUGGCAGUCAGAGGCGAUGAAGGGCGUGCUAAUCUGCGAUAAGCGCCGGUAAGGUGAUAUGAACCGUUAUAACCGGCGAUACCCGAAUGGGGAAACCCAGUGUGACUCGUCACACUAUCAUUAACUGAAUCCAUAGGUUAAUGAGGCGAACCGGGGGAACUGAAACAUCUAAGUACCCCGAGGAAAAGAAAUCAACCGAGAUUCCCCCAGUAGCGGCGAGCGAACGGGGAGGAGCCCAGAGCCUGAAUCAGCAUGUGUGUUAGUGGAAGCGUCUGGAAAGGCGCGCGAUACAGGGUGACAGCCCCGUACACAAAAGCGCAUGUGCUGUGAGCUCGAUGAGUAGGGCGGGACACGUGGUAUCCUGUCUGAAUAUGGGGGGACCAUCCUCCAAGGCUAAAUACUCCUGACUGACCGAUAGUGAACCAGUACCGUGAGGGAAAGGCGAAAAGAACCCCGGCGAGGGGAGUGAAAAAGAACCUGAAACCGUGUACGUACAAGCAGUGGGAGCACCCUUUGGGUGUGACUGCGUACCUUUUGUAU
Molecule: ribosomal RNA, 581 nt
Filed under: Salmonella enterica subsp. enterica serovar Enteritidis
Lineage: Bacteria; Pseudomonadati; Pseudomonadota; Gammaproteobacteria; Enterobacterales; Enterobacteriaceae
Description: partial 23S ribosomal RNA
Rfam family: Bacterial large subunit ribosomal RNA
Source: RNAcentral